AUGGAUGAGGUCACAAGGGAUAUACAAGGAGAUAUCCCAUGGUGUAUGCUCAUUGCGGAUGAUGUGGUGCUAGUUGACGAUAGUCGGACGGGGGUAAAUAGGAAGUUAGAGUUAUGGAGACAAACCUUGGAAUCGAAAGGGUUUAGGCUUAGUAGAACUAAAACCGAGUACAUGAUGUGCGGUUUCAGUACUACUAGGUGUGAGGAGGAGGUUAGCCUUGAUGGCCAGGUGGUACCUCAGAAGGACACCUUUCGGUAUUUGGGGUCAAUGCUGCAGGAGGAUGGGGGUAUUGAUGAAGAUGUGAACCAUCGAAUCAAAGCCGGAUGGAUGAAGUGGCGCCAAGCUUCUGGCAUUCUCUGUGACAAGAGAGUGCCACAAAAGCUAAAAGGCAAGUUCUACAGGACGGCGGUCCGACCCGCAAUGUUGUAUGGCGCUGAGUGUUGGCCGACUAAAAGGCGACAUGUUCAACAGUUAGGUGUGGCGGAGAUGCGUAUGUUGAGAUGGAUGUGUGGCCACACGAGGAAGGAUCGAGUCCGGAAUGAUGAUAUACGAGAUAGAGUUGGGGUAGCACCAAUUGAAGAGAAGCUUGUCCAACAUCGUCUGAGAUGGUUUGGGCAUAUUCAGCGCAGGCCUCCAGAAGCUCCGGUGCAUAGUGGACGGCUAAAGCGUGCGGAGAAUGUCAAGAGAGGGCAUGGUAGACCGAAUUUGACAUGGGAGGAGUCCGUUAAGAGAGACCUGAAGGAUUGGAGUAUCACCAAAGAGCUAGCUAUGGACAGGGGUGCGUGGAAGCUUGCUAUCCAUGUGCCAGAGCCGAGUUGGUUGCGAGAUCUUAUGGGUUUCACCUCUAGCCUACCCCAACUUGUUUGGGACUAA
Molecule: ribosomal RNA, 873 nt
Filed under: Triticum aestivum (bread wheat)
Lineage: Eukaryota; Viridiplantae; Streptophyta; Magnoliopsida; Poales; Poaceae
Description: partial small subunit ribosomal RNA
Source: RNAcentral